RNAcentral lists this long non-coding RNA (283 nucleotides) under Lepisosteus oculatus (spotted gar). RNAcentral's name for it is "lncRNA (ENSLOCG00000022214.1)". The record is from RNAcentral. Lineage: Eukaryota; Metazoa; Chordata; Actinopteri; Semionotiformes; Lepisosteidae.
GGGCAUUCUGGCAGCUCUGAUAAAGAAGUGUUUAUUGAUCCAUUACAGAUAAGAGUCCAGCAAGGGAGGAGAGACAUGAUCAAAUACAGGUCACCACCCCCCCCGGCUCUGCCACGAGGUGAAGAGGGCUCAGAGAGGAGGGGGCAGCCGGAGAGUCACCGGGCCGACUAGGGGGUGCUCAGGUCCCUUGACUUCUCAGCGCUCCGCAGGGACACAGUACUGGUAAUCCACUCGGCACUGGUUAUCCAAGAAGACACCACCACCCCUCUAAACGAGAGUCACG